RNAcentral lists this ribosomal RNA (228 nucleotides) under uncultured bacterium. RNAcentral describes it as "partial 16S ribosomal RNA". It matches the Rfam family "Bacterial small subunit ribosomal RNA", at positions 15 to 224 of the family's 1533-position model. The record is from RNAcentral.
GAUCAUGGCUCAGGAUGAACGCUGGCGGCGUGCCUAACACAUGCAAGUCGAACGGAGUCGUUUUGGAAAUCUCUUCGGAGAUGGAAUUCUCGACUUAGUGGCGGAUGGGUGAGUAACGCGUGAGCAAUCUGCCUUUAAGAGGGGGAUAACAGUCGGAAACGGCUGCUAAUACCGCAUAAAGCAUCAAAUUCGCAUGAUUUUGAUGCCAAAGGAGCAAUCCGCUUUUAG